This 800-nucleotide ribosomal RNA is filed under the name uncultured Flavobacteriia bacterium. RNAcentral's name for it is "bacterial SSU rRNA". It matches the Rfam family "Bacterial small subunit ribosomal RNA", at positions 28 to 821 of the family's 1533-position model. The record is from RNAcentral. Lineage: Bacteria; Pseudomonadati; Bacteroidota; Flavobacteriia.
GAUGAACGCUAGCGGUAGGCCUAACACAUGCAAGUCGAACGGUAACAGAGAGAGCUUGCUCUUUGCUGACGAGUGGCGGACGGGCGCGUAACACGUAUGCAACAUACCUUCUACAGGGGGAUAGCCCAGAGAAAUUUGGAUUAAUACCCCAUAACAUCAUGGAUUCGCAUGUUUCUAUGAUUAAAACUCCGGUGGUAGAAGAUUGGCAUGCGGCCCAUUAGUUAGUUGGUGAGGUAAUGGCUCACCAAGACCACGAUGGGUAGGGGGUCUGAGAGGAUGAUCCCCCACACUGGUACUGAGACACGGACCAGACUCCUACGGGAGGCAGCAGUGAGGAAUAUUGGACAAUGGACGAAAGUCUGAUCCAGCCAUACCGCGUGCAGGAAGACAGCCCUACGGGUCGUAAACUGCUUUUGUUUGCCAAGAAACCUCCCCACGUGUGGGGAGCUGACGGUAGCAUUCGAAUAAGGACCGGCUAACUCCGUGCCAGCAGCCGCGGUAAUACGGAGGGUCCAAGCGUUAUCCGGAUUUAUUGGGUUUAAAGGGUUCGUAGGCGGGAAGAUAAGUCAGUGGUGAAAGCCUGUGGCUCAACCAUAGAAUUGCCAUUGAUACUGUCUUUCUUGAAUGCACAUGAAGUGGGCGGAAUGUGUCGUGUAGCGGUGAAAUGCUUAGAUAUGACACAGAACACCGAUUGCGAAGGCAGCUCACUAAAGUGUUAUUGACGCUGAGGAACGAAAGCGUGGGGAGCGAACAGGAUUAGAUACCCUGGUAGUCCACGCUGUAAACGAUGAUCACUCGAU